This 487-nucleotide ribosomal RNA is filed under the name uncultured bacterium. Its description in RNAcentral is "bacterial SSU rRNA". It matches the Rfam family "Bacterial small subunit ribosomal RNA", at positions 8 to 507 of the family's 1533-position model. The record is from RNAcentral.
AGAGUUUGAUCAUGGCUCAGGAUGAACGCUGGCGGCGUGCUUAACACAUGCAAGUCGAACGGUGAAGCCCAGCUUGCUGGGUGGAUCAGUGGCGAACGGGUGAGUAACACGUGAGCAAUCUGCCCCUGACUCUGGGAUAAGCGCUGGAAACGGCGUCUAAUACUGGAUAUGAACCGUGGAGGCAUCUUCAACGGUUGGAAAGAUUUUUUGGUCAGGGAUGAGCUCGCGGCCUAUCAGCUUGUUGGUGAGGUAAUGGCUCACCAAGGCGUCGACGGGUAGCCGGCCUGAGAGGGUGACCGGCCACACUGGGACUGAGACACGGCCCAGACUCCUACGGGAGGCAGCAGUGGGGAAUAUUGCACAAUGGGCGCAAGCCUGAUGCAGCAACGCCGCGUGAGGGAUGACGGCCUUCGGGUUGUAAACCUCUUUUAGCAGGGAAGAAGCGAAAGUGACGGUACCUGCAGAAAAAGCGCCGGCUAACUACGUG